GACGAACGCUGGCGGCGUGCUUAACACAUGCAAGUCGAACGGAAAGGCCCUGCUUUUGUGGGGUGCUCGAGUGGCGAACGGGUGAGUAACACGUGAGUAACCUGCCCUUGACUUUGGGAUAACUUCAGGAAACUGGGGCUAAUACCGGAUAGGAGCUCCUGCUGCAUGGUGGGGGUUGGAAAGUUUCGGCGGUUGGGGAUGGACUCGCGGCUUAUCAGCUUGUUGGCGGGGUAGUGGCUUACCAAGGCUUCGACGGGUAGCCGGCCUGAGAGGGUGACCAGCCACAUUGGGACUGAGAUACGGCCCAGACUCCUACGGGAGGCAGCAGUGGGGAAUAUUGCACAAUGGGCGGAAGCCUGAUGCAGCAACGCCGCGUGCGGGAUGACGGCCUUCGGGUUGUAAACCGCUUUCGCCUGUGACGAAGCGUGAGUGACGGUAAUGGGUAAAGAAGCACCGGCUAACUACGUGCCAGCAGCCGCGGUGAUACGUAGGGUGCGAGCGUUGUCCGGAUUUAUUGGGCGUAAAGGGCUCGUAGGUGGUUGAUCGCGUCGGAAGUGUAAUCUUGGGGCUUAACCCUGAGCGUGCUUUCGAUACGGGUUGACUUGAGGAAGGUAGGGGAGAAUGGAAUCCCUGGUGGAGCGGUGGAAUGCGCAGAUAUCAGGAGGAACACCAGUGGCGAAAGCGGUUCUCUGGGCCUUUCCUGACGCUGAGGAGCGAAAGCGUGGGGAGCGAACAGGCUUAGAUACCCUGGUAGUCCACGCUGUAAACGGUGGGUACUAGGUGUGGGGUCCAUUCCACGGGUUCCGUGCCGUAGCUAACGCUUUAAGUACCCCGCCUGGGGAGUACGGCCGCAAGGCUAAAACUCAAAGGAAUUGACGGGGCCCCGCACAAGCGGCGGAGCAUGCGGAUUAAUUCGAUGCAACGCGUAGAACCUUACCUGGGUUUGACAUGGAUCGGGAGUGCUCAGAGAUGGGUGUGCCUCUUUUGGGGUCGGUUCACAGGUGGUGCAUGCCUGUCGUCAGCUCGUGUCGUGAGAUGUUGGGUUAAGUCCCGCAACGAGCGCAACCCUUGUUCACUGUUGCCAGCACGUUAUGGUGGGGACUCAGUGGAGACCGCCGGGGUCAACUCGGAGGAAGGUGGGGAUGACGUCAAGUCAUCAUGCCCCUUAUGUCCAGGGCUUCACGCAUGCUACAAUGGCUGGUACAGAGAGUGGCGAGCCUGUGAGGGUGAGCGAAUCCCGGAAAGCCGGUCUCAGUUCGGAUUGGGGUCUGCAACUCGACCUCAUGAAGUCGGAGUCGCUAGUAAUCGCAGAUCAGCAACGCUGCGGUGAAUACGUUCCCGGG
RNAcentral lists this ribosomal RNA (1343 nucleotides) under uncultured bacterium. RNAcentral's name for it is "16S ribosomal RNA". It matches the Rfam family "Bacterial small subunit ribosomal RNA", at positions 28 to 1378 of the family's 1533-position model. The record is from RNAcentral.